AUGAGAAGUCUUCUUCUUUAUGAUGAAUCCACCACAACUGCAGCAUCACUACUGAUUUGCAGUAUCUGUACGACCUUCCACAUCCUUAUAACCAAAAAGUUAGAAGUGGAAUUGAUGGUUUUCUUGUCUUUUUCUUUCGAUCAACAGAAGUCAGAAGAUGGAACGGUUGGAAUUUUCGCAUGGCCAAAGAAGAAUUGCAAAAACACCGUGUAG
Vicia faba (fava bean) is the source of this 213-nucleotide non-coding RNA. The record is from the annotation of a GenBank genome assembly. NCBI's taxonomy places the organism in Eukaryota, Viridiplantae, Streptophyta, Magnoliopsida, Fabales, Fabaceae.